UACGAAGGGGGCUAGCGUUGUUCGGAAUUACUGGGCGUAAAGCGCACGUAGGCGGACUAUUAAGUCGGGGGUGAAAUCCCGGGGCUCAACCCCGGAACUGCCUUUGAUACUGGUAGUCUCGAGUCCGGAAGAGGUGAGUGGAAUUCCGAGUGUAGAGGUGAAAUUCGUAGAUAUUCGGAGGAACACCAGUGGCGAAGGCGGCUCACUGGUCCGGUACUGACGCUGAGGUGCGAAAGCGUGGGGAGCAAACAGG
Molecule: ribosomal RNA, 253 nt
Filed under: uncultured bacterium
Lineage: Bacteria
Description: partial 16S ribosomal RNA
Rfam family: Bacterial small subunit ribosomal RNA
Source: RNAcentral